CAAGGAAUUUUGGGCAAUGGGCGAAAGCCUGACCCAGCAACACCGCGUGGGGGAUGACGGCCCUCGGGUUGUAAACCCCUUUUCUCAGGGAAGAAUAAUGACGGUACCUGAGGAAUAAGCUUCGGCGAACUACGUGCCAGCAGCCGCGGUAAUACGUAGGAAGCGAGCGUUAUCCGGAAUUACUGGGCGUAAAGCGCGCGUAGGUGGUCUUUCAAGUCGAAUGUGAAAUUUCCCGGCUUAACCGGGAAGGGUCGUUCGAUACUGUUGGACUAGAGAGCGGCAGGGGGAAGCGGAAUUCCCGGUGUAGUAGUGAAAUGCGUAGAUAUCGGGAGGAACACCAGUGGCGAAGGCGGCUUCCUGGGCUGUUUCUGACACUGAGGCGCGAAAGUGUGGGGAGCGAACAG
RNAcentral lists this ribosomal RNA (404 nucleotides) under uncultured bacterium. RNAcentral's name for it is "bacterial SSU rRNA". It matches the Rfam family "Bacterial small subunit ribosomal RNA", at positions 355 to 775 of the family's 1533-position model. The record is from RNAcentral.